Non-coding RNA from Sesamum indicum (sesame), 194 nucleotides. NCBI's taxonomy places the organism in Eukaryota, Viridiplantae, Streptophyta, Magnoliopsida, Lamiales, Pedaliaceae. The record is from RefSeq and is a predicted model, not a curated record.
AUCCAUCUGAUGACCAACCUAAUCCAUCUGAUGACAGCCUAAUCCAUCUGAUGAUUUGAAAUCUAAAGAGAAAAAUGAAGAGAGAAGAUGCAACAUUAAAGCUGACAAAAUCAGUGAUUUAAAUGUAACCAAACAGGAAUUGAAGCUUUUCAUGGAAAUGUAUUGGCACCAAAUGGUGGAUUCAAGGUUAGCAU